GAAAAUGAUAAAAAAAUUCAUAAAACACUAGCAACACUGAUCUCUGCGGGAUUUUUUUUUUUUUUUACCGUUCCCUUGAAUGCUCGAUACUUGACCACUACGCCCUGCAUGAUGUCAGUUGAUGAUUUUAUACAAUGUGGAAAGAGAAUGGGAAUAUCGAUCGGUUAACAUAAAAAAGUAUUACACGUCUGCCCGAGUUUUCAAAUAUUUACUCUUGCUAUAUCAAAUUGUGUCGGACUCUGCAAGGUCUUGUCAUAUUGUUCCAUAAAAACUUUGGAUAUGAACAAAUCGGUUCAGUUAAGGUGUUUCUUCCCUAGGUUUACGUAAGCGAGAGAAUAUAAUGUUUUAAAGACACGCCACUGUUCAGCACAAGGUGGCUAAAGUUUUCUGUUUUCAACUCUGAAAAAAAAAAAAGGGGGGAUCCCAGCAGCUGUUUCGGGCGGGCUUUAACGACUGGCUUAUUAACUAUUGAUUACAAUGGGUCAAUCACGCAUCCCCGUUAGAGUCCACCCUACGUAUAUAUAUACAUAUGUACUCUGUAAGUGAAACACCGAUGGAGAUGUUAAGUGGCUUCUAAAUGUCAAUAUCGGAUUUUAAUCAUCAGCCAGUGAAACACCAUACAAGUUGCGUGUAGUCCUUAAAUUACGUGAUAUUUCAACAUACACGAAACGCUGUGAUUUCUCGCUUAAAUACAGUGUACACUUUUAAAAACCGUGUACGGAUGUAUGUGUGGGUUGGAUUUCUGAAAACUUAAGGAGGGAUGACACCAAGGGCAUAUUUGUUUGUUAAGUCUUGUGCAGAAUAUGAAUAUUUAACGUGUAGGAACUACUGAAUUUUGUGUGCACGUUCUGAACACUAGCCAAAAUAUUGGGAUUUGUUUUGGGGUUUUUUUUUCUUCAAGUGAGUGAAAGCGUCCGAAAAGAAAACAUUUUAUUUUCAAGUCUAAUGUCACCUUAAAACAAGCCAAUUUUAAUAUCUAAUCAUUUUGUUAUAUAAAAGACGAAACCAAAAAGCUUUAUUCCGUGCAAAGAGCAGAAUUUAAUUCCCAAACGCAAUCUUGUUUUAUUGAUGUUCAAAGAACAGAAACUUCGGAGUUACGUGUUCUUCGCAAAUUAACCUGGACAUUAACGGAGUCUAGGGUGUCUCGUUGUGGAAGUCGUUCUCACUGCUACCGUUUUGAAAAUAGAUAUUUUAUUCUGUCAUAGUGCUCUUAAAAUACUCACAACACUUGCGUACCACGUGGUGACAUUUAGAAUAUGAGGGCCGAGGAGUGAUUUUGGAAUAACAGGACGAAAUGUGUGUUGCAUAAACAGACCUAUGGAUUAUUUACGGAGGAGUGUGUUCUGUUUAAAUUCUGCUCUCUAUGUCAACAUUUUACUGACGAUCUUUAUUCCUGGUUCUCAUCAGUUGUGCAAAUGGUCGAACGAGAACUGCAACGACGGGCUGGAAUGUUGCAGCAAAAACUGCGAUCAGGCGCACGUGGGCACCAGUGCACGGUGUAAACGGAGUACCGUGCACGAGCCGUGCUACGCUGAUUAUCACUGUGUGGAAUACUUAACCUGUGGUAGCAACUACCAGUGCUGCUCGCCAUUCUGGGGCGUGUGCACAGAUAGAAAGGACUGUUGUAAUCCGGAUCACGUGUGUCGUUCUGAACAAGGAUUCUACUAUCGACUGUGUCUAGGUCCCAAGAAUUCAGGGCGGGGGUCGCUUCUCAAUGCUAAUGUGUAUGCAAUAUUGUCGUGCCUUAUCUCGUACUCUCUCUAUUCCUUAAGACAAAUAUAAGGAUUUAGAGAGAUGACGAGAAUGAUUUUUCAUCGGACUGGAUGUGAAAAUGUACCCCCCUUUUUUUCCCCGAAAAAAAAAGAAAGAAACAGAUAAAUUGAAUGAAAUAAUUCUUAUUAAAAAAGAAAUGAAUAUGCAAGAUUACAGAAAUGCUACAUGUACUUAGCGAUUAAUUGUCGGUUAUUUUACAAACAUGACCUAAGAUAACGUUAUGUUACGUUUUAUUGCACGAUGUUGAUAAAUUUUUUUGCCAUGUUCGUCAUACUCUAUAAUGUCAUUUAAUUAAUCAUUUUCUGUUCAAAUUUGAGCAUUAGUACGAGAGUUAUCGUUUGAAGUUUUUCGCUUGCCGCGUGGAAAUGUUUGAAAUCUUCCAAGUGAAAGUGCCAAAUGCUGCGGAGAGAGAGGUCAAAGGUCACGUUAUUUGUUGAAGGGAAAAUACUUAUGGGCACAAGGAUGUAGAGUGCCUAAAUCAAAAUCAUAGACACUUGGCCCAAUGGAUCAAAACUAACAUAACUUUUACCAAAGAUAUUAGAAUAUUACAAGAAGACAAUGAAAAAUCUACAGUGUAACGAUAAUUGCACAAUAGAAUGAUCAAAGAUCUCUACAAGGCGAUGAUAAUCCUGACAAUCUGCAUAUGAUGCAGUUUUUAAAAUGAUAUCGUACGGAAUUCUGGUCUUCUACAUGUAACACCAUAAGCACAUGUAGAAGUUUUUUCCUGUUGUAAGGACAUAUUGAGAUCCAAGCCUAGCAUUAACCAAGCUGGUCAUGUUCAUUCGAUGUCAAACGUACAGUUACAUAUUUCAUAGACUUAAGCAUCCCUACAAGUCAAGGGUUACUGAUUCGUUACCUCUCACUAAUCGAUCUAGGUAACGAAACCCUUGACUUGUGAAGAUAAGACUUUAAAAGUAGAAUAAUGAAUUUCUCUGUCACAUCGAGUGGCUAGUUGAUUUCCAUGUAAUGUGUGCCAGUGGUGCAUGGUUGUCACCAAGUUCCGUAUCUCUGGGCAGACUAAGGAGAUAAACGUUGCUAGUUUCAGAGGUUUGUAUUUUCUGUUGACUUCCUCUUUGGUAUGAUGACAUCAAAUAUUGUGACGUCAUAUCUAGAUAUUGUCUCGACUCAAUAUUGGAUCACACUCGUCUUCUUAGUUCCGAAACUAGUUUAUUUGCGGUUACGGAAAUAGCCGAGUGGUUACGAUUGACCCCGACUACGUUCGACCUCUUCAUGCUUGUUCGUUUUACAUCAAGUAUUGAGCAAUCUCCAGUUGUAUGUGAACUAUCAACAUUUAGAAUAGAUGUAUAUGCUUACGGUCCUCAAACUAACCAACGCCUGCCAGGACACGUGACCUCCGUUUUUAAGGUCAUAUCCGAAAAACUCGUGAUUCUCAUUUUUUUUUAUGCCGAGCGUUUGGUGGAGUAGCAAUCACUACCUAUUUUAACGUCUUAAGUUUGACGCGGCCAUGGCACGAGUGGGACUCGAACUCACGACCUCCCAGUUACGACACAGACGCUCUACCUCUCUCCUUACCUUGGGAGUGUUUACUUUGACGCUGAAAAUUCGUUCGAUGGAUUUGUAGCUCAAUUUUUCUCUGUUCCGGUCUUUAGAGUUUGAUUCAAGUGCCUAUGAUUUAAAUUACUUGAGGACAGGAUUACACCUGGCUAAAAUCAAAAUUUUGUUAAGUUUCCACUUUGAAGCAGAUCCAGAAAAAAACAAACAUUUUAAUAACGCGACCGACCGGGUUAGAUGCACACGAACGAGCGUAAAGCAGUGCAUAAAAUAUUGCCACUUUCACACAAUAGUAUUACAAGUUAAAUGAAUUGUUCUUCCUGCAAAAGUGCCCGGUAUCUUUAAAAGCAAUAUGUACAUGUUACUUGUUAAGUUUUGUUCCAUUUUGUUUUAACUAUAUAGUUUUGUCUCAAUAAAGCUACAUAUUACAAAUAA
This is a long non-coding RNA of Ostrea edulis (European flat oyster), 3720 nucleotides long. RefSeq lists it as uncharacterized. The record is from RefSeq and is a predicted model, not a curated record. The transcript has 2 exons. NCBI's taxonomy places the organism in Eukaryota, Metazoa, Mollusca, Bivalvia, Ostreida, Ostreidae.